UAACAGGAUUCCCCUAGUAACUGCGAGUGAAGCGGGAAAAGCUCAAAUUUAAAAUCUGGUGGUCUUUGGCCAUCCGAGUUGUAAUCUAGAGAAGUGUUAUCCGCGCUGGCCCGUGUACAAGUCCCCUGGAAUGGGGCGUCAUAGAGGGUGAGAAUCCCGUCUUUGACACGGACUACCAGGGCUUUGUGAUGCACUCUCAAAGAGUCGAGUUGUUUGGGAAUGCAGCUCAAAAUGGGUGGUAAAUUCCAUCUAAAGCUAAAUAUUGGCGAGAGACCGAUAGCGAACAAGUACCGUGAGGGAAAGAUGAAAAGAACUUUGGAAAGAGAGUUAAACAGUACGUGAAAUUGUUGAAAGGGAAACGCUUGAAGUCAGUCGCGUCAGUCAGGGAUCAACCUUACUUUUGUGAGGCGUACUUCCUGGUUGAUGGGUCAGCAUCAGUUUUGGCUGCUGGAUAAAGGUCAGAGAAAUGUGGCACCUCCGGGUGUGUUAUAGUCUCUGAUCAGAUACAGUGGCUGGGACUGAGGAACUCAGCACGCCGCAAGGCCGGGGUUCGCCCACGUUCGUGCUUAGGAUGCUGGCAAAAUGGCUUUAAUCGACCCGUCUUGAAACACGGACCAAGGAGUCUAACAUGCCUGCGAGUGUUUGGGUGGAAAACCCGAGCGCGCAAUGAAAGUGAAAGUUGGGAUCCCUGUCGCGGGGAGCACCGACGCCCAUACCUGAAGUUUACGGACGGAUAUGCGGUUGAGCAUGCAUGUUGGGACCCGAAAGAUGGUGAACUAUGCCUGAAUAGGGCGAAGCCAGAGGAAACUCUGGUGAAGGCUCGUAGCGAUUCUGACGUGCAAAUCGAUCGUCGAAUUUGGGUAUAGGGGCGAAAGACUAAUCGAACCA
This 888-nucleotide ribosomal RNA is filed under the name Pleurotus cystidiosus var. formosensis. Its description in RNAcentral is "eukaryotic LSU rRNA". It matches the Rfam family "Eukaryotic large subunit ribosomal RNA", at positions 66 to 942 of the family's 3401-position model. The record is from RNAcentral. Lineage: Eukaryota; Fungi; Basidiomycota; Agaricomycetes; Agaricales; Pleurotaceae.